CCACGCUGUAAACGUUGGGAACUAGGUGUGGGGAUGCUAUCCUGUGUUUCUGCGCCGUAGCUAACGCAUUAAGUUCCCCGCCUGGGGAGUACGGUCGCAAGGCUAAAACUCAAAGGAAUUGACGGGGACCCGCACAAGUAGCGGAGCAUGUGGUUUAAUUCGACGCAACGCGAAGAACCUUACCAGGGCUUGACAUGACAGUGACGGGUUAAGAGAUUAACCGUUCCCUUCGGGGACACUGCCACAGGUGGUGCAUGGUUGU
This 262-nucleotide ribosomal RNA is filed under the name uncultured bacterium. RNAcentral's name for it is "partial 16S ribosomal RNA". It matches the Rfam family "Bacterial small subunit ribosomal RNA", at positions 795 to 1052 of the family's 1533-position model. The record is from RNAcentral.